GAUGAACGCUGGCGGCGUGCCUAAUACAUGCAAGUCGAGCGAACGGACGAGAAGCUUGCUUCUCUGAUGUUAGCGGCGGACGGGUGAGUAACACGUGGAUAACCUACCUAUAAGACUGGGAUAACUUCGGGAAACCGGAGCUAAUACCGGAUAAUAUUUUGAACCGCAUGGUUCAAAAGUGAAAGACGGUCUUGCUGUCACUUAUAGAUGGAUCCGCGCUGCAUUAGCUAGUUGGUAAGGUAACGGCUUACCAAGGCAACGAUGCAUAGCCGACCUGAGAGGGUGAUCGGCCACACUGGAACUCAGACACGGUCCAGACUCCUACGGGAGGCAGCAGUAGGGAAUCUUCCGCAAUGGGCGAAAGCCUGACGGAGCAACGCCGCGUGAGUGAUGAAGGUCUUCGGAUCGUAAAACUCUGUUAUUAGGGAAGAACAUAUGUGUAAGUAACUGUGCACAUCUUGACGGUACCUAAUCAGAAAGCCGCGGCUAACUACGUG
This 497-nucleotide ribosomal RNA is filed under the name uncultured bacterium. RNAcentral describes it as "partial 16S ribosomal RNA". It matches the Rfam family "Bacterial small subunit ribosomal RNA", at positions 28 to 507 of the family's 1533-position model. The record is from RNAcentral.